GAUGAAGAACGUAGCGAAAUGCGAUAAGUAAUGUGAAUUGCAGAAUCCAGUGAAUCAUCGAAUCUUUGAACGCACAUUGCGCCCGCCAGCAUUCUGGCGGGCAUGCCUGUUCGAGCGUCAUUUCAACCCUCGACCUCCCUUUGGGGAAGUCGGCGUUGGGGACCGGCAGCACACCGCCGGCCCUGAAAUGGAGUGGCGGCCCGUCCGCGGCGACCUCUGCGUAGUAAACCAACUCGCACCGGAACCCCGACGUGGCCACGCCGUAAAACACCCAACUUCUGAACGUUGACCUCGAAUCAGGUAGGACUACCCGCUGAACUUUAGCAUAUCAAUAAGCGGAGGA
RNAcentral lists this unclassified non-coding RNA (343 nucleotides) under soil metagenome. RNAcentral's name for it is "partial contains 5.8S ribosomal RNA, internal transcribed spacer 2, and large subunit ribosomal RNA". The stretch from base 1 to 120 matches the Rfam family "5.8S ribosomal RNA", at positions 35 to 154 of the family's 154-position model. The record is from RNAcentral.